This 101-nucleotide non-coding RNA is filed under the name human gut metagenome. Its description in RNAcentral is "THF riboswitch". It matches the Rfam family "THF (Tetrahydrofolate) riboswitch aptamer". From Rfam's summary of the family: THF riboswitch presents a pseudoknot that joins P1-P2 and the loop of P3 and two THF binding. The record is from RNAcentral.
CAGAGUAGGUUCAUGUGCGUCAAGUGUCGGCGGAACGGGGAGUUGUCCGCCGAACGAAGGUGAUCGCAGAUCGCCGCGGUAUAUGAGCCGCAUCCCGCUGU